This 497-nucleotide ribosomal RNA is filed under the name uncultured bacterium. RNAcentral describes it as "partial 16S ribosomal RNA". It matches the Rfam family "Bacterial small subunit ribosomal RNA", at positions 28 to 507 of the family's 1533-position model. The record is from RNAcentral.
GAUGAACGCUGGCGGCGUGCCUAAUACAUGCAAGUCGAGCGAACAGACGAGGAGCUUGCUCCUCUGACGUUAGCGGCGGACGGGUGAGUAACACGUGGAUAACCUACCUAUAAGACUGGGAUAACUUCGGGAAACCGGAGCUAAUACCGGAUAAUAUAUUGAACCGCAUGGUUCAAUAGUGAAAGACGGUUUUGCUGUCACUUAUAGAUGGAUCCGCGCCGCAUUAGCUAGUUGGUAAGGUAACGGCUUACCAAGGCAACGAUGCGUAGCCGACCUGUGAGGGUGAUCGGCCACACUGGAACUUAGACUCGGUCCAGACUCCUACGGGAGGCAGCAGUAGGGAAUCUUCCGCGAUGGGCCAAAGCCUGACGGAGCAACGCCGCGUGAGAGAUGAAGGUCUUCGGAUCGUAAAACUCUGUUAUUAGGGAAGAACAAAUGCGUAAGUAACUAUGCACGUCUUGACGGUACCUAAUCAGAAAGCCACGGCUAACUACGUG